ACUCAAAGGAAUAGACGGGGGCUCACACAAGCGGUGGAGCAUGUGGCUUAAUUCGAAGCAACGCGAAGAACCUUAUCCUGGGCUUGACAUGUAUGGAUUAGCAGGCGGAAACGUCUGUGAGGCUCUUUGAGUACAACAUACACAGGUGCUGCAUGGCUGUCGUCAGCUCGUGCUGUGAAGUGUCGGGUUAAGUCCCUUAACGAGCGAAACCCCUGUCGCUAGUUGCCACCAGGUAAUGCUGAGCACUCUAGCGAGACUGCCGGUGUCAAACCGGAGGAAGGUGGGGAUGACGUCAAGUCCUCAUGGCCUUUAUGCCCAGGGCUGCACACGUGCUACAAUGGUGCGGUACAAAGCGAAGCGAGACCGUAAGGUGGAGCAAAUCGCAUAAAACGCACCCCAGUUCAGAUUGAGGUCUGCAACUCGACCUCAUGAAGUUGGAAUCGCUAGUAAUCGCGGAUCAGCUACGCCGCGGUGAAUGUGUUCCUGAGCCUUGUACACACCGCCCGU
This 507-nucleotide ribosomal RNA is filed under the name uncultured bacterium. RNAcentral describes it as "partial 16S ribosomal RNA". It matches the Rfam family "Bacterial small subunit ribosomal RNA", at positions 899 to 1397 of the family's 1533-position model. The record is from RNAcentral.